AAAGACUUAGUCCCAACCUUACUGUUAGUUUUUGCUAGGUUUAUACAUGCAAGUAUCCGCGCGCCAGUGUAGAAGCCCUGGACACCCAGACCGGGUAGAUAGGAGCGGACAUCAGGCUCACCACCUACCGUAGCCCAAAACGUCUUGCAAUUGCCACGCCCCCACGGGUAUUCAGCAGUAGUCAAUAUUAAGCAAUGAGUGAAAACUUGACUUAGCCAUAGCAAAUUCAGGGCCGGUAAAUCCUGUGCCAGCCACCGCGGUCAUACAGGAGGCCCAAAUUAACGUUAUAACGGCGUAAAGUGUGGUUACAUGUUAUCAAAGUAGCUAAGAUUAAAAAGCAACUGAGCUGUCAAAAGCCCAUGUCGCCCAUAAGGCCACUUUAAAAGAGAAUCUUAGACUAAUGAUUUAUUGAAAUCCACGAAAGCCAGGACCCAAACUGGGAUUAGAUACCCCACUAUGCCUGGCCCUAAAUAUUGGUGCUUUAUCUUACCUGAGCGCCCGCCCGAGAACUACGAGCACAAACGCUUAAAACUCUAAGGACUUGGCGGUGUCCCAAACCCACCUAGAGGAGCCUGUUCUGUAAUCGAUGAUCCACGAUAUUACCUGACCAUUCCUUGCCAUGUCAGCCUAUAUACCGCCGUCGCCAGCCCACCUACCCUGACAGCCCAACAGUGAGCGCAAUAGCCUUCCCCGCUAAUAAGACAGGUCAAGGUAUAGCCUAUGGAAUGGAAGCAAUGGGCUACAUUUUCUAAUAUAGAACAUAACGGCAAAGGGAUAUGAAACAAUCCCUGGAAGGAGGAUUUAGCAGUAAAAGUGGGACAAUCGAGCCCUCUUUAAGCCGGCCCUGGGGCACGUACAUACCGCCCGUCACCCUCAUCAAAGGCGAACCAAACCCCUAUAACUUAAUAAGCCAUCCAGCCAAAGAUGAGGUAAGUCGUAACAAGGUAAGUGUACCGGAAGGUGCACUUAGACU
Molecule: non-coding RNA, 973 nt
Filed under: Regulus calendula
Lineage: Eukaryota; Metazoa; Chordata; Aves; Passeriformes; Regulidae
Description: 12S ribosomal RNA
Rfam family: Bacterial small subunit ribosomal RNA
Source: RNAcentral